UGAAAUAGGUUUUGAAUUGUUACCCAUUUUGGGUACUUCUGACUUGGUUGAUGGAUGAUUCUCCAUUGCUCGAGUGUAGGAGACCCGGUAUGCCUCGAGGGUAUUUUUGUCCUUUUUGUCCAAAAAACUCACGUGUCGCCUUGUGAAUAUUUUUGGCUCCACAAAUGCCCCCACACCUGUUGGGUUGCUCGCAGAAAAGGGCGGCAGGUGUAGAGAUUUUCUUGCUUUAGGAAACUUAGGACUGCUUCCUAUUUUGAUGUAGAUUCUCUCUUUAAUAGGAAAUUAGAUCCUUC
Molecule: long non-coding RNA, 293 nt
Filed under: Malus domestica (apple)
Lineage: Eukaryota; Viridiplantae; Streptophyta; Magnoliopsida; Rosales; Rosaceae
Description: long non-coding RNA (MDOM_LNC001599)
Source: RNAcentral